UGAGUGCCAGAGGAAAUCAUCGACCUGAUCUGAGCAGCGAAUGAUGUGAUCUAUUUCUCAGUGUUUUUACCCUUUGUGUAAACACUCAAGGGCAGCAGGCUGUUGGUUAAAAUACUGAGUCUUAAUGCAGCUUACAUAAUGCAGAUAGCUGUUAGUUUAACAGCUACCCUGUGCUCACCAACGCCCUGGCAGCCCUCAGCCCUGCCACUUGCCUGCUGGUCGGCCAAGGGCUCUAUUUCCCCAGACUCUGAUAGAGGCAGGAGCAAGGGACAUGGCACCAGGCACCGUCCAGAUGAUUUUCCAGCUGCCGCUGGACCCGGGCGUGGAUACGGCCAGAAAUCAAGAGGAUGCCGGAGGGAAGAGAUUCUCCUAUGCACGACUUGGGAGGAACCCAUGUGGCUGCUGUCUAAGGCUGAUGCCUCACAGGGACUCAUGUGUCUCCUGCAUGAAUGGGCGAAGAAGAGGACAGAAGUAACUUCAAUGGCUACUGUCUGGAAGAUCUGCGUGAUACUCCGGAAAGGAAUGGAGAAAACUUGAGUUUGAAGGCAGUAGUGUGGCUUCCAUGGAUAAGAAGCAGAGAUAAGAUGCAACUUUUCAGAGCCAACUCAAGGCCUCUUUCUGGUUCUGGCUCUUGGACAUGGUUUUGUCUGAGAACUAUAGCUUGUGGGCCUCCUGUUUUUGUAUGACUGAUGAGCUAAGAAUAGCUUUUACAUUUUAAAUGGUUGGAAAAAAAUAAAAAGAAGAACAUUUUGGGAGAUGUGAAAAUUACAUGAAAUUCACAUUUCAGUGUCUAUAAAUAAAGUUUUAUUGGAAUACA
Long non-coding RNA from Mustela lutreola (European mink), 817 nucleotides. RefSeq lists it as uncharacterized. NCBI's taxonomy places the organism in Eukaryota, Metazoa, Chordata, Mammalia, Carnivora, Mustelidae. The record is from RefSeq and is a predicted model, not a curated record. The transcript is spliced from 2 exons.